CCUACGGGAGGCAGCAGUGGGGAAUAUUGCACAAUGGGGGAAACCCUGAUGCAGCGACGCCGCGGGAGUGAAGAAGUAUAUCGGUACGUAAAGCUCGAGCAGCAGGGAAGAAAAGGACGGUACCUGACUAAGAAGCAACGGCUAACGAAGUGCCAGCAGCCGCGGUAAUACGGAGGGGGCAAGCGUUAUCCGGAUUUACUGGGUGUAAAGGGAGCGUAGACGGCAGCGCAAGUCUGGAGUGAAAUCCCAUGGCUUAACCAUGGAACUGCUUUGGAAACUGUGAAGCUGGAGUGCAGGAGAGGUAAGCGGAAUUCCUAGUGUAGCGGUGAAAUGCGUAGAUAUUAGGAGGAACACCAGUGGCGAAGGCGGCUUCCUGUACUGUACCUGACGUUGAGGCUC
This 399-nucleotide ribosomal RNA is filed under the name uncultured bacterium. RNAcentral describes it as "partial 16S ribosomal RNA". It matches the Rfam family "Bacterial small subunit ribosomal RNA", at positions 338 to 754 of the family's 1533-position model. The record is from RNAcentral.